UACGAAGGUCCCAAGCGUUAUCCGGAUUUAUUGGGUUUAAAGGGUGCGUAGGCGGGCUAUUAAGUCAGUGGUGAAAGCCUCAAGCUUAACUUGAGAAUUGCCAUUGAUACUGAUGACCUUGAGUACAUUUGAAGUGGGCGGAAUGUGUCAUGUAGCGGUGAAAUGCUUAGAUAUGACAUAGAACACCAAUAGCGAAGGCAGCUUGC
This 206-nucleotide ribosomal RNA is filed under the name uncultured prokaryote. RNAcentral's name for it is "partial 16S ribosomal RNA". It matches the Rfam family "Bacterial small subunit ribosomal RNA", at positions 524 to 729 of the family's 1533-position model. The record is from RNAcentral.